CUUGCUCCCAAAGAUUAGCGGCGGACGGGUGAGUAACACGUGGGCAACCUGCCUGUAAGACUGGGAUAACUUCGGGAAACCGGAGCUAAUACCGGAUAAUCCUUUCCCUCACAUGAGGGAAAGCUGAAAGACGGUUUCGGCUGUCACUUACAGAUGGGCCCGCGGCGCAUUAGCUAGUUGGUGAGGUAACGGCUCACCAAGGCCACGAUGCGUAGCCGACCUGAGAGGGUGAUCGGCCACACUGGGACUGAGACACGGCCCAGACUCCUACGGGAGGCAGCAGUAGGGAAUCUUCCGCAAUGGACGAAAGUCUGACGGAGCAACGCCGCGUGAGCGAAGAAGGCCUUCGGGUCGUAAAGCUCUGUUGUCAGGGAAGAACAAGUGCYGGAGUAACUGCCGGCACCUUGACGGUACCUGACCAGAAAGCCACGGCUAACUACGUGCCAGCAGCCGCGGUAAUACGUAGGUGGCAAGCGUUGUCCGGAAUUAUUGGGCGUAAAGCGCGCGCAGGCGGUCCUUUAAGUCUGAUGUGAAAGCCCACGGCUCA
This 547-nucleotide ribosomal RNA is filed under the name Mesobacillus foraminis. RNAcentral's name for it is "bacterial SSU rRNA". It matches the Rfam family "Bacterial small subunit ribosomal RNA", at positions 75 to 611 of the family's 1533-position model. Lineage: Bacteria; Bacillati; Bacillota; Bacilli; Caryophanales; Bacillaceae. The record is from RNAcentral.